CUCCUCAGACAGGUGGGAAGCUUGUCACUCUCUAAAGCAGGGCCCCCAGUAACCCCAAGAGCGCACAGAGGGGAGCUUGGCCUGCUCUGUGCUCUCAGCCCAGUGAAACAACCUCUCUUGGGUUGGCUCGGCCCCUUUAGGACAGAGCUAUAAGCAGGGGGAGCCACUGAGUGAGCAAGAGAUUUGCAUGAAGGGGCCGUUCUUCAGCUCUGGGGAUUUAAGAGAGAAUCGGAGGGUUCCUGGAAGAGAGACGUGAUCCUCUGGAUUCCCACCAUGGCCUGGGCCCCUCUGCUCCUCGCGCUGCUCACUUACUGCAUUGGUUUCAGUUCCCAGCAACUCCAGUCGCUGAAGGCGUCCGAGUUCGUGUCUCCUGGAGGGACCGUGACCCUCUCCUGCAGCCUGAGCAGUGGGGCCAUCGCUGAUAACAACCACCCACUCUGGGUUCAACAGAGACUGGGGAAUGUUCCUCGGCUGAUCAUGCACAGCACGAGUACCAGGCCCUCGGGGAUCCCAGAGCGUUUCACUGGCUCCAGAUCGGGUAACACCAUGUCCUUGACCAUCAAGGGGGCCCUGGCGGAGGAUGAUGCUGAUUAUUACUGUUGUGUGUGGGCUGGGAGUGCUCAUCACAGUGAUACAGUCAGAUGGGGAAGUGAUACAAAAACCUCCCUCCCCCCUGUGCCCUGCUGGGAGCUGUGGUGGCCGCAGAGCCCAGGGUAUAAGUGA
Chrysemys picta bellii (western painted turtle) is the source of this 723-nucleotide non-coding RNA. The record is from the annotation of a RefSeq genome assembly. Lineage: Eukaryota; Metazoa; Chordata; Testudines; Emydidae.